Molecule: ribosomal RNA, 257 nt
Filed under: Salmonella enterica subsp. enterica serovar Kentucky
Lineage: Bacteria; Pseudomonadati; Pseudomonadota; Gammaproteobacteria; Enterobacterales; Enterobacteriaceae
Description: partial 16S ribosomal RNA
Rfam family: Bacterial small subunit ribosomal RNA
Source: RNAcentral
GGCCGCAAGGUUAAAACUCAAAUGAAUUGACGGGGGCCCGCACAAGCGGUGGAGCAUGUGGUUUAAUUCGAUGCAACGCGAAGAACCUUACCUGGUCUUGACAUCCACAGAACUUUCCAGAGAUGGAUUGGUGCCUUCGGGAACUGUGAGACAGGUGCUGCAUGGCUGUCGUCAGCUCGUGUUGUGAAAUGUUGGGUUAAGUCCCGCAACGAGCGCAACCCUUAUCCUUUGUUGCCAGCGAUUAGGUCGGGAACUCA